AGAAUCAACGCUGGCGGCGUGCCUAACACAUGCAAGUCGAACGAGAAAGUGGAGCAAUCCAUGAGUAAAGUGGCGACCGGGUGAGUAACACGUGACUAACCUACCCUGGAGUGGGGGAUAACUGAGGGAAACCUUAGCUAAUACCGCAUAACACCUACGGGUCAAAGGAGCAAUUCGCUUUGGGAGGGGUCGCGGCCGAUUAGUUAGUUGGCGGGGUAAUGGCCCACCAAGACGAUGAUCGGUAUCCGGCCUGAGAGGGCGCACGGACACACUGGAACUGAAACACGGUCCAGACUCCUACGGGAGGCAGCAGUGGGGAAUUUGCGCAAUGGGGGAAACCCUGACGCAGCAACGCCGCGUGGAGGAUGAAGUACUUCGGUACGUAAACUCCUUUCGAUCGGGACGAUAAUGACGGUACCGAGAGAAGAAGCCCCGGCUAACUUCGCGCCAGCAGCCGC
This 458-nucleotide ribosomal RNA is filed under the name uncultured bacterium. Its description in RNAcentral is "SSU rRNA". It matches the Rfam family "Bacterial small subunit ribosomal RNA", at positions 26 to 518 of the family's 1533-position model. The record is from RNAcentral.